Long non-coding RNA from Heterocephalus glaber (naked mole-rat), 1345 nucleotides. The record is from Ensembl. NCBI's taxonomy places the organism in Eukaryota, Metazoa, Chordata, Mammalia, Rodentia, Bathyergidae.
GGAGCCCCGGCCCGACCCGGCCGAGGUUCGGCCCCAAGGCGGCGACACAGCACUCCGCCCGCGGCGCGCUCUCGGCGCGGGGCCGACUCCAGCUUUGUCUCGCGAGGGGACCCCUCGGCCGUGGGCCGCGCCGGGCCUCCCGGCGGCGCCGGCUGCUUCUCUUCGCGCCGCGACAGGCCCCCCCCCCACCGGACCAGACCAGACCAGACCAGACCAGAGGCGGCGUCUGGACGAGAGCGGCGGGCGGACGGAGCUUGCAGUGCUCGCAGCUGCUGUUUCCAGGAUGUCCUUCUCUGUCAGGCUGCAAUCUCCAGGACAAAAAGCCCACAGGACUUUUGCUCAGUGGAGCUCAGUCUGCAGAAACACUCUGUCAUUUGCAGCUGUUUCCUUGCCGCCGGGUUAGCUCUGGAGUCCCCAAAGAGUCAGAUGGGAUGAGAAGACUCGCUGUUCCCCAGGCACCUGGGAACUGCUGCCAGGGGACAAUAAAGCAGUCAUUGGGCUACAUGGAAGCCUGAUGCAGUAAGGACUGAGGUGAAACACUGCCAAACAGGAAUGAAAUCCAUGUAUCAGAAUCAUCUCCAAGUCAGAGCCAAACAGGGCCAAGAGUUCCUGGAUUCUGGUUCUUGAAUGCAGAAAUAUGGCUUUAAUUACUGGAAAGGGGUCUGUGAUGUGGUAAAAGUGAAGAUUCCUUGGAGAAAACAUCAUUUAUUUUUCUGGCUGUGAAUUUACAAGAUGCUAAAGCCUCUAACAAUUUAGUCUGAAUUUCAGUGACUUGUUGCUCACUGAGCUCAGUGUAGGCAAAUGUCUGACUAUGACAGUGGACAGGUGGACCUUGCUUUUCCAGGCUCAGAAAUAAAGUAGCAGUACUCAGAGGAGUCCGGAUCCUUUUUCUGGGUCGAAUGAUACGACUCUAGGUUGAAUACUAGAAUCUUUUGCCAUGGUUUAAACCUCCAGGGCUCAGUUGCUUGAUCUGUGCAAUGGGAGCGGAAAUGCACCAGCCUCACAGGCACACGAGUGUGCAGGGAGGAGCCUGGGGUUCCACACAGGUCGGAUGCAGUGGGACCACCUCAGGGUGGAUUUACCCCCACGUCCAGGGCACAAGGAGGUGGAGAGGGCAGGCGCCCUGCUGACAGGGGCUUCCUGCUCUGUGAAUUCCGCAGCUCUGGCUGAGCACUGGUAUUAGGAACUCAAAGAGUGAUUCCAUAAAGAAAAAAAGUGUAGUUUAUACCAAAAUGGAAUAAACCCCCAUUUGAGUAACAACAAUCUGCAUAAAUGCUUUAAGAAAGCCUAUAAUUAUGAUAAAAAUGUUGCUCAAAGUUAAAAUUAUGAAGCAAUCAAGAUUUAU